UACGUAGGGUGCGAGCGUUAUCCGGAUUCACUGGGUUAAAGGGUGCGUAGGUGGGGUGGUAAGUCAGUGGUGAAAUCUCCGAGCUUAACUUGGAAACUGCCAUUGAUACUGAUAGUCUUGAGUAUGAUUGAAGUGGGCGGAAUGUGUCAUGUAGCGGUGAAAUGCUUAGAUAUGACACAGAACACCGAUUGACGAAGGCAGCUCACUAAGCCAUAACUGACGCUGAUGCACGAAAGCGCGGGGAGCGAACAGG
Molecule: ribosomal RNA, 253 nt
Filed under: uncultured bacterium
Lineage: Bacteria
Description: partial 16S ribosomal RNA
Rfam family: Bacterial small subunit ribosomal RNA
Source: RNAcentral